CUACGGGCCGCAGCAGUGGGGAAUAUUGGACAAUGGGGGAAACCCUGAUCCAGCAAUGCCGCGUGUGCGAAGAAGGCCUGCGGGUUGUAAAGCACUUUCGGUUGGGAGGACUGCUUCUAGCACUAAUAUUGUUGGAAGUUGACGUUACCUUCAGAAGAAGCACCGGCUAACUCCGUGCCAGCAGCAGCGGUAAUACGGAGGGUGCAAGCGUUAAUCGGAAGUACUGGGCGUAAAGCGCGCGUAGGCGGCUAGAUCAGUCGGGUGUGAAAGCCCCGGGCUUAACCUGGGAACUGCAUCCGAUACUGUCUAGCUUGAGUACAGGAGAGGAGAGUGGAAUUCCACAUGUAGCGGUGAAAUGCGUAGAUAUGUGGAGGAACACCAAUGGCGAAGGCAGCUCUCUGGCCUGAUACUGACGCUGAGGUGCGAAAGCGUGGGGAGCAAACAGGAUUAGAUACCCGCGUAGUC
This 465-nucleotide ribosomal RNA is filed under the name uncultured bacterium. RNAcentral's name for it is "partial 16S ribosomal RNA". It matches the Rfam family "Bacterial small subunit ribosomal RNA", at positions 339 to 795 of the family's 1533-position model. The record is from RNAcentral.